GUCUGAUUGGCUGGGGUAGCAGAAGUCCCGCCCUCCCCUUGUGACCCGGAUUUGCUUACCUGCGGGCAGCCGCGUUUGCUUCAGGGUCGUCCACCGCCAUGUUCGGUUCGCGCGCCACGGUCACCAAGAGGUAUUUUGGUCAUGUGUUUGAAGGUUCUGACUGAAGUGAUUAGUCUGCUAUGGAUUCUGUUCCAGUGAUUAGGUUUGCUUUUCGUGAACUGUUGCGACAUCUUGACCUUUCCCUAUACAUUUAUUCAUAAUUACAGAGUAAUGAUUGGUUGCGGACAUGGCUGAGAUUAGCCGCGCUUACUUACAAGGCGAGCUGACAUGGUUCAAUUCCCCUGUACCCACGAAAAGCAGACACUCGUAGUGGGCAUGCGUCUGGAGGUCGUUUGCUGCGGCAAGAGGCUAUGGCUGGCUUCAAACUCAUGGUGAUCCUUCUACAUCUGUCUCCAAAGUGCUAACGUUUAAAGCCUGCGCCUCCUUGCCUGGCUGAAGAUACUUUUGGAAGCUGUCGGGAUCAUCCUCCCCAGGUUCUCUCCUGACCCCAGAAGACCUGGGAAAGAGGGUAGCACUGACGACGGCACACCUCCGCAGUCAGCCUGCUAGUCACCAUGGCCACCUCCUGCCUCCGUGAGACCCACCAGAGACCUCAGAGCUGCAGAAACAAAAGUUCAUGCUAGCCCCUCCCUGUGGUGGCUACCUGCCACCCCUCAAGGGCUGUGAUACUAUUUCUCUUGUCACACUUCCUUACAUUACUCUUUCUUUACUGCCUGUCUCACAUAGCAGAUGGCAGUAUGAAAAUUCCUUAUACUAGUUGGGCUGGAGAGAUGCCUAAGCAGUUAAAAGGCACUUGCUCGCAAAACCUGACAGUCCAGGUUCAAAUCCCCAGUACCCACAUAAA
Jaculus jaculus (lesser Egyptian jerboa) is the source of this 904-nucleotide long non-coding RNA. RefSeq lists it as uncharacterized. The record is from RefSeq and is a predicted model, not a curated record. The transcript has 3 exons. Lineage: Eukaryota; Metazoa; Chordata; Mammalia; Rodentia; Dipodidae.